RNAcentral lists this ribosomal RNA (781 nucleotides) under Anteaglonium sp. RNAcentral's name for it is "partial large subunit ribosomal RNA". It matches the Rfam family "Eukaryotic large subunit ribosomal RNA", at positions 119 to 939 of the family's 3401-position model. The record is from RNAcentral. Lineage: Eukaryota; Fungi; Ascomycota; Dothideomycetes; Pleosporales; Anteagloniaceae.
AAUCUGGCUCCCUUGGGCGCCCGAGUUGUAAUUUGCAGAGGGUGCUUUGGCGUCGGCAGCGGCCUAAGUUCCUUGGAACUGGGCGUCAUAGAGGGUGAGAACCCCGUACGUGGCCGCCCGCCUUCGCCGUGUAAAGCCCCUUCGACGAGUCGAGUUGUUUGGGAAUGCAGCUCUAAAUGGGAGGUAAAUUCCUUCUAAAGCUAAAUACUGGCCAGAGACCGAUAGCGCACAAGUAGAGUGAUCGAAAGAUGAAAAGCACUUUGGAAAGAGAGUCAAAAAGCACGUGAAAUUGUUGAAAGGGAAGCGCUUGCAGCCAGACUUGCCCGCGGUUGUUCUUCUUCCGCGGGCAGGCCAGCAUCAGUCUGGGCGGUCGGAUAAAGGCUCUGGGAAUGUGGCUCCCCCCGGGGAGUGUUAUAGCCCAGGGCGCCAUGCGGCCAGCCCGGACUGAGGUCCGCGCAUCUGCUAGGAUGCUGGCGUAAUGGCUGUAAGCGGCCCGUCUUGAAACACGGACCAAGGAGUCUAACAUCUAUGCGAGUGUUUGGGUGUCAAGCCCGGGCGCGCAAUGAAAGUGAACGGAGGUGGGAACCCCUCGGGGCGCACCAUCGACCGAUCCUGAUGUCUUCGGAUGGAUUUGAGUAAGAGCAUAGCUGUUGGGACCCGAAAGAUGGUGAACUAUGCCUGAAUAGGGUGAAGCCAGAGGAAACUCUGGUGGAGGCUCGCAGCGGUUCUGACGUGCAAAUCGAUCGUCAAAUUUGGGCAUAGGGGCGAAAGACUAAUCGAA